Molecule: long non-coding RNA, 465 nt
Organism: Girardinichthys multiradiatus
Lineage: Eukaryota; Metazoa; Chordata; Actinopteri; Cyprinodontiformes; Goodeidae
Exons: 3
Source: RefSeq, a predicted model, not a curated record
UUAAAUGCCAGCUGCUCUCAUCAGCAGAAUCCAGGACAGGUGCGUAGAUUGGAAAACUCCGCCCCUGCCACUCUGACUCUGGAAGCACUCAUGGUUUCAACAACAUGAUAAAUUAUCAGUGGAAUGGUAGUACUCGAACGGAGGGAUGAGAAGGCAGUAGCAGUAAAAGCUGUAAAAGAGCCACCCGGUAACUACAGAAAUGGAUGGAGUGUGUGAUGGCAAGUCACACAUGGUUCUCCCCUAUGGACAGCAGGAUGAAGAAAAUAAAGGGAGGCACUCUUGCUGGAACCGUGAACCGCAGCCUUAGUUUCGUGAAGUGAAUGCCGCUCUAUCCUCUCCGUCUGUGAGAAGGGCUACAGUGUCUUUCACACAUUCCCCUCAGCGUUUGUCUCCUAUGAUCUGUGAAAAUGGAGAAAAGUGGAAGCUCACACACAUAAACAAACACGCACUGAAAACAUUGAUACC